RNAcentral lists this ribosomal RNA (269 nucleotides) under uncultured bacterium. RNAcentral describes it as "partial 16S ribosomal RNA". It matches the Rfam family "Bacterial small subunit ribosomal RNA", at positions 933 to 1215 of the family's 1533-position model. The record is from RNAcentral.
UGGAGCGUGUGGUUUAAUUCGAUGCUACACGAAGAACCUUACCAGGGUUUGACAUGCAAGUGGUAGGAAACCGAAAGGCGACCGACCCUUCGGGGAGCUUGCACAGGUGCUGCAUGGCUGUCGUCAGCUCGUGUCGUGAGAUGUUCGGUUAAGUCCGCUAACGAGCGCAACCCUCGCUGUGUGUUAUAUGUGUCACACGGGACUGCCGGUCUUAAGCCGGAGGAAGGUGAGGAUGAUGUCGAGUCAGCAUGGCCUUUAUAUCUUGGGCA